UAUCUGGCUCAGGACGAACGCUGGCGGCGUGCCUAAUACAUGCAAGUCGAACGGUCUUUCUAUGGAAGCUUGCUUCCACUGAGAAGAUAGUGGCGAACGGGUGAGUAACACGUGGGUAACCUGCCCAUAAGAGGGGGAUAACAUCCGGAAACGGGUGCUAAUACCGCAUAGUUUUCUUGAUCGCAUGAUCGGGAAAGGAAAGACGGCCUUUGUGCUGUCGCUUAUGGAUGGACCCGCGGCGUAUUAGUUAGUUGGUGAGGUAACGGCUCACCAAGACGAUGAUACGUAGCCGACCUGAGAGGGUGAUCGGCCACAUUGGGACUGAGACACGGCCCAAACUCCUACGGGAGGCAGCAGUAGGGAAUCUUCCGCAAUGGACGAAAGUCUGACGGAGCAACGCCGCGUGAGUGAAAGAAGGUUUUCGGAUCGUAAAACUCUGUUGUCAGAGAAGAACAAGUUGGAGAGUAACUGCUCCAGCCUUGACGGUAUCUGACCAGAAAGCCACGGCUAACUACGUGCCAGCCGCCGC
This 529-nucleotide ribosomal RNA is filed under the name uncultured bacterium. RNAcentral's name for it is "bacterial SSU rRNA". It matches the Rfam family "Bacterial small subunit ribosomal RNA", at positions 16 to 518 of the family's 1533-position model. The record is from RNAcentral.